UCUCUCUUGUAUAAUACACACUCCACUAAACACUAUCCUCCUCUCUCCUUUCAUUCCACCCCCUCUGCGGCCUCUGCCUGCUUUGCCUCGCUCUCUAUCAUCCGCUCGAACAACGUCUCUCUCGUCGUCAUAAUCCUCCGUGUCCGUGUGUUGUUCGUCCACUCUCUUUCUCGCUCGUUUACCUCCUCGCCUGCUCUUGCUUUCGCGAGCGCGCUGGUUGCUCCUCCUCCUCCUCUCUUCUUUUCUUUCUGUGUUUUGUGCAGCAGAUACUGCUGCUGCAGCUGGUGAUGCGUUACUCACCCUCCCUUCCGUGAAAAAUAUUUGAAGUUUUGCGUGGUACUUGGUUCAGUUUUGUUGUUCUGUUAACUCUUUUUUUUUUUUUCUCUAUACCUAUAUAAGUACAUUUGCUCCGCUUUGGUCUUCUGCUGGAAGAGAGACACAAUACCCGCUGCUAUUGCUGUGUAUAAACUAUACCCAUACAAUUAAUGUGUACGUGUGUGUUCUGAUAUGCUGGAUGUGCUGUAACUGGUGCUUACAGGUUGAGAGGAAAGAGGUACCUACCAGAUACUACUCAAAAACCAUCUUCAGGGAAUGCGGUUGUACGGCAACUAACUAGGCCCGGGACAGACUGGGCCACCACGUAAAAGCAGACGGCGUUAAUUGUCUUGACAUGGAGCUCAGCCUGGAUCAACACUGAUCUCUAGAUGCUUUGCCAAGCGACAUACAGCCAGGGCGAUGGAUUGAUAGAGGAAGGUAAGCUGGCUGGUCAGGUUUGGAUUGACGAGCAGCAGGCCUGCGCCCGCAAGAGCAGUAGGAGUAGCAGCAGUAACAGCAGCUGUGGCAGCCAGGAAAGGCGCAAGCCUACAAGGAAGAAGAAGCUGGAAGUCGAGGUGGGCAGCGUCAGUGAGGCGGCCGGAGCUGUCGGUCACAACAGCAGAAACAACAACCGGAGGGCCUUGGGCGCAGGCCGUGGUGGGUCGCGUGACAGCCAGAUUAUGCCGACACAGCCGAGGCCGGGCAGCCUCAAGGAUCCAGAGAUCGCCGAGCUCUUUGAAGAUAACGAUCCGGAGAAGAUCUUCGAGGACUUGAGAGAAAUCGGCCAUGGCAGCUUCGGCGCCGUCUACUACGCGAGGUGCCUCAUCAGCAGGGAAAUUGUCGCCAUUAAAAAGAUGUCCUACCUCGGCAAGCAGACUAUGGAAAAGUGGCAGGACAUACUCAAGGAAAUACGCUUUCUCAGACAACUUAAGCAUCCAAACACCAUCGAGUACAAGGGUUGCUAUCUCAGGGAUCACACUGCCUGGCUGGUCAUGGAAUACUGUCUGGGUUCCGCGUCGGACAUAAUCGAGGUGCACAAGAGGCCACUAAAAGAGGACGAGAUCGCGGCGAUAUGUGAGGGUGUGCUGCGUGGCCUAAACUACCUGCAUUCGUUGGGCAGGAUUCACCGGGACGUGAAGGCUGGCAAUAUCCUGCUUACGGAAAACGGUACAGUCAAGCUCGCAGAUUUCGGUUCUGCGAGUGUCAAGUGCCCGGCCAACAGCUUCGUCGGUACGCCCUACUGGAUGGCCCCGGAGGUCAUACUAGCCAUGGACGAAGGCCAGUAUGACGGUAAAGUCGACGUCUGGUCCUUAGGAAUCACGUGUAUUGAAUUGGCGGAACGGAAACCGCCUUACUUCAACAUGAACGCAAUGAGUGCUCUCUAUCACAUUGCCCAAAACGAAAGGCCGACGCUGAACUCGGCCGAAUGGACGGAAGUAUUCCGUCACUUCGUCGAGAUCUGCCUUACCAAGAGUCCUGGCGAGAGACCAGCUUCCGGGAAACUGUUAUCGCAUACUUUUGUAACAAGACUGCGCUCGCCCCAAGUCUUGAUCGAUCUUAUAAAUAGAACAAAGGCUGCCGUACGGGAAUUAGAUAAUUUAAAUUAUCGAAAGAUGAAAAAGAUUUUGAUGAUCGACACCUGUGAAACGGAGAGUCAAAUAGGCGACGCUGAUGACACUCCUGACGAACAAACAGGUGGUGACAGCAGCAAGAGCAACAGCAUUACCUCCGAGCACUCAAUUCACUCGAUGGGUGUGUCGGCAAGCUCGCAAAGUUCAUCAACCAAUAGCCUACCUUUACCAAACAAUGCCAAUGACGCAAACGACGCUUGUAUUAUGGCUGGUUCGAUGAGAAAUCGACACAACCGAAUGGCAGGUGCUCAAGGCAUGACCGCGAACCUCCUCGAGCACGGCGCUAACAAUUUUGCGACGAUCAGAACCACGUCGAUCGUCACCAAGCAGCAGAAGGAACACAUGCAGGAGGAGAUGCACGAACAGAUGAGCGGCUACAAGAGGAUGAGACGAGAGCACCAUGGCGCGUUGAUGAAAUUAGAGGAACGGUGUAAGAUCGAAGUCGAGUCUCACAAGCAGCAGCUUGAAAAAGAGUACGAAAAUCUGAUGCAGCAGUUUAGCAAAGAGUUGGAAAAACUACAGGCUAGGCAUCAUCAAGAGCUCGAGCGGAGACAAAAGCAAAAUCAAAAUGCAGAAAAGAAGCUUCACAAAGAAAUCACGAACAGGCACGAAACUGAUCGCAAGGCUCUUGAGGCUCAGCAAAAACGGGAGUACAAGGCGUACAAGGAGAGGUGGAAGAAGGAACUAUCACAGGACGAGCUGACGCCAAAGCGACAACGGGACGCUACUCUUCAGAGUCAAAAAGACAGUCUCAGGCAGAUGGAGGCUCAAGAGGAGCAGCGACUCGCGCGUGGACAGCGGGAGUAUCUAGACUUGGAAAUACGUAAAUUCCGCAGAAAAAAAUUACUCAACUACCAUGCUCUUGAACAAGAGCUUCUUCGUGAAGAAUUGAACAAGAGACAGCAACAGCUGGAACAAGCUCACGCGAUGCUUCUUCGGCAUCACGAGAAGACGCAAGAGCUGGAGUACAGACAACAAAGGGCCGUUCAUGCUCUGCGAGAGGAACAAAUCCAACGGCAACACAACACUGAACUUAGCAAUCAACGAGAUUAUAUGCAACGUGCCGAACGUGAUCUGCGUAAGAAGCAUGCGCUUGAGCUCAAACAGCAACCCAAAAGUCUGAAGCAAAAAGAAAUGCAAAUCAGGAAGCAAUUUAGGGAAACGUGUAAAAUACAAACGCGCCAGUAUAAAGCACUGAAAGCCCAGAUAUUGCAGACAACUCCCAAGGACGAACAAAAAUCUGUAAUAAAGAAAUUGAAGGAGGAACAAAGGCGAAAACUCGCACUCCUGGGUGAACAGUAUGAACAGAGUAUUGCUGAAAUGCUUCAAAAGCAAAGUAUUCGUUUGGACGAAUCGCAAGAAAUUGAGUGCCAGGUUCUCAAGCAAAGAUUGAAUCACGAGCUUGAAAUCUUGAUGGCGUACCAGUCGAAGAACAAGAUGCAGGCGGAGGCUCAGCGUGAUCGAGAACGACGUGAACUCGAGGAUCGAGUGUCCGUGAGACGAGCACUUUUAGAAAAGAAACUCGAGGACGAAACGCAAGAGAUCUUGCACGAGCGUAGUGAGCGAAUACGAUUGCUGCACGAAAAGCAAGAGCGUGAGCUCCAUUACUUCGACGAAGAAAGCGCGAGAAUCGGAUUCAGUGCGUUAGCAAUAGCCGAAGCUUCAAAGGAAUCUUAUCCGGAUGACGAAAGCCUCAGCGGUUCAAUGUUAAGUCUGGCUCACAGUAAUAGUUCUACAUCUUUUCCCCCUAAUAGUCUCUAAUCCAAAACCAUGAAAAAUAAUUCGUGUUAAUGAAAAAUAAUGAAACAAUUAUGUCCGCCUGUAGUCGUGCGAGUAUGGAACUUUUUUUUUUUUUUUAACUUAUAACACCGCACAGUUCAGAGGCAGAAGUGUGUUGACUCGCUCGAAUUCCAGAUUUGGUUGUAAAUUUCGAACCGACGAUUGCGAGGAUGACGACGGUCAUGCAGGUCAAGAAUUUCAUUAAGUAACGUCUAGUGAUGAGGCUCUCGUGGCUGUAAUCUUUUAUUUCUGACUAGCGGGAGAAAAAAAAAAGAAUUGUAGAGCAAUGUAUGUAUGCCUAGUAAUAUAUGCUGUCGUCGUUAUUUUUUUGUAGCCUUACGAAACAAAAAAGUUAUUUCAUUGUU
This 4090-nucleotide unclassified non-coding RNA is filed under the name Copidosoma floridanum. RNAcentral describes it as "serine/threonine-protein kinase Tao, transcript variant X2". Lineage: Eukaryota; Metazoa; Arthropoda; Insecta; Hymenoptera; Encyrtidae. The record is from RNAcentral.